Oreochromis niloticus (Nile tilapia) is the source of this 1229-nucleotide long non-coding RNA. RefSeq lists it as uncharacterized. The record is from RefSeq and is a predicted model, not a curated record. NCBI's taxonomy places the organism in Eukaryota, Metazoa, Chordata, Actinopteri, Cichliformes, Cichlidae. The transcript is spliced from 2 exons.
CAUAAUAAACACAAAGUGUGUAUGAAUGUUUGUGUGUGCGUGCAUCUGUGUGUGUCUCGGUGUAUUUUCCUGAUUCACCCGGCAACAAGCUGAGUCACCACUACACCAGCCUUCCUACCAACCUUGUUCCCAUGGCUACCAGCAUGCCACAAUGGUUUGUCUGUUCUUCAGUAUUACCUGAUGAUGACAUCAGUUGCUGUCUCUACAGACUGUAUAUAGUAAGCCAUGAGACUGAACAUGGAGAAGAAAUCACUCAGUUGUUGGUGAAGAAAAAGCACCAGGAAAUUAUUUCCCAGGUGGCUCAUUCUAACUUGAUGGCCGGUUAAAUGAGAUAUGAUAACACUCAGGAUAGAACAAUGACCUGGGUUGUGUUGUAUUGUGCUUAUAUGUCCUGAAUUACAACUAGUUAAUAAGCUGUCAAUUCCAAAAGAUACUUUGCCAUAAAUAGAGGUCUCAUUUGAUCAUUGUAGGAUGGGUCAUCUCACCAAAGUGUGCAAAAAUGAUGUUUUGUGUUGGUUUUGCUGUGCAACGGAAUGUCCUAAAGCAAUCCCUUUACACGACAUCUCUGUAAAGGCGGUGACCUAAGUAUGAACUGCUGGAUAUUAGACAAAGCAUGUAAAAUUCAUGACUUGUAGGUUCAUGCACAAUGAUGAAUUCAGUGGCUCAACUUUAUGUUGUUUGCAGUAUAGGAGUUGUUGGUGGGUUCCAUGGGAUUUCCGCCCUUUGAGCUGCUGUUUAGCAAAAAAAAAAAGAAACCCUUGUUGGCUACUUUAGGAAAACUGGGAGGGAGGGCAGGGGGGAAAUUAAAUUCAGUAUUGUGAAAAAGAUUUUGUUUAUUAUUCAAAUAUGCUUUGCUUGUAACUGUGUAAACCUCUGAAUGAUAUGCUGUGAUUGUGUAAACUCUGAAUGACGAUUCACCCCGAUAAACAUGAAGCUUUGCUAUGCUUAUCAUAUGCCUGUGAAGACAAGUUCCUGUGUAAAGAGGAACGGAAAGUUCCACUUAAGCAGAUGUUUAGUAUAGUAUGGACUGAACGUUUUAGCAAGAUAUGCAUUUGUCUGUUAAGCAAUCUAUGUUCUUUAGCAAGAUAUACAUUUGUAAUCUAUAUUCUGGGAACAGGCGGAGACUGCCUCCGCCCUGUUGAGUAACCUACAUGCCUAUAUAACCUGCAAUAAAGAAGAGUACUGGUGUGACUCUCAUUAGAGACGUUCACCCCAUGUACAUGUGAUUG